Molecule: ribosomal RNA, 497 nt
Filed under: uncultured bacterium
Lineage: Bacteria
Description: partial 16S ribosomal RNA
Rfam family: Bacterial small subunit ribosomal RNA
Source: RNAcentral
GAUGAACGCUGGCGGCGUGCCUAAUACAUGCAAGUCGAGCGAACAGACGAGGAGCUUGCUCCUCUGACGUUAGCGGCGGACGGGUGAGUAACACGUGGAUAACCUACCUAUAAGACUGGGAUAACUUCGGGAAACCGGAGCUAAUACCGGAUAAUAUAUUGAACCGCAUGGUUCAAUAGUGAAAGACGGUUUUGCGGUCACUUAUAGAUGGAUCCGCGCCGCAUUAGCUAGUUGGUAAGGUAACGGCUUACCAAGGCAACGAUGCGUAGCCGACCUGAGAGGGUGAUCGGCCACACUGGAACUGAGCCACGGUCCAGACUCCUACGGGAGGCAGCAGUAGGGAAUCUUCCGCAAUGGGCGAAAGCUUGACGGAGCAACGCCGCGUGAGUGAUGAAGGUCUUCGUAUCGUAAAACUCUGUUAUUAGGGAAGAACAAAUGUGUAAGUAACUAUGCACGUCUUGACGGUACCUAAUCAGAAAGCCACGGCUAACUACGUG